This 1820-nucleotide ribosomal RNA is filed under the name freshwater metagenome. RNAcentral describes it as "bacterial LSU rRNA". It matches the Rfam family "Bacterial large subunit ribosomal RNA", at positions 1 to 2035 of the family's 2925-position model. The record is from RNAcentral.
ACCAUCCUCCAAGGCUAAAUACUCGUAAUCGACCGAUAGUGAACCAGUACCGUGAGGGAAAGGCGAAAAGAACCCCGGGAGGGGAGUGAAAUAGAUCCUGAAACCGCAUGCAUACAAACAGUGGGAGCCUCGCAAGGGGUGACUGCGUACCUUUUGUAUAAUGGGUCAGCGACUUACGUUCAGUAGCGAACUGAAACAUCUAAGUAGCUACAGGAACAGAAAUCAACCGAGAUUCCCAGUCACGAUAAGGCGAAAGUUGAAGGAUAGAAGCUGAAUCCCGAGUAGUACGGGGCACGAGGAAUCCCGUAUGAAUCAGCGAGGACCAUCUCGUAAGGCUAAAUACUACUGUGUGACCGAUAGAGAACAAGUACCGCGAGGGAAAGGUGAAAAGAACCCCGGGAGGGGAGUGAAAAAGAACAUGAAACCGUGAGCUUACAAGCAGUGGGAGUCCGAUUAAACGGAUGACCGCGUGCCUGUUGAAGAAUGAGCCGGCGACUUAUAGGUACUGGUAGGUUAAAGCGGGAAUGCUGGAGCCAAAGGGAAACCGAGUCUGAAAAGGGCGCUAAUCAGUAUUUAUAGACCCGAACCCUGGUGAUCUAACCAUGGCCAGGAUGAAGCUUGGGUAAAACCAAGUGGAGGUCCGAACCGACCGAUGUUGAAAAAUCGGCGGAUGAGCGGUGGUUAGGGGUGAAAUGCCAAUCGAACCAGGAGCUAGCUGGUUCUCCCCGAAAUGUGUUGAGGCGCAGCGGUAAUGAAAAAAUUGGGGGGUAAAGCACUGUUUCGGUGCGGGCUGGGAGACCGGUACCAAAUCGAGGCAAACUAAGAAUACCCAAGGAGCACAUUGCCAGUGAGACGGUGGGGGAUAAGCUUCAUCGUCAAGAGGGAAACAGCCCAGACCACCAGCUAAGGUCCCCAAAUCAUCACUAAGUGAAAAAGGAGGUGGGGUUGCAAAGACAACUAGGAGGUUUGCCUAGAAGCAGCCACCCUUGAAAGAGUGCGUAAUAGCUCACUAGUCAAGCGAUCCUGCGCCGAAAAUGAAAGGGGCUAAGUGAUGUACCGAAGCUGUGGGAUUAGAAAUAAUCGGUAGGGGAGCGUUCCGUAGUAGUGAGAAGCAGUAGCGGCAAGCAGCUGUGGACGAGACGGAAGUGAGAAUGUCGGCUUGAGUAGCGCAAACAUUGGUGAGAAUCCAAUGCCCCGAAACCCUAAGGGUUCCAGAGGCAGGUUCGUCCACUCUGGGUUAGUCGGGACCUAAGGCGAGGUCGAAAGGCGUAGUCGAUGGAGACCGGGUCAACAAUCCCGGACUACAAUAUGGGAGCAGAACUAGGGACGCAUGAAAGAUAGCCACGCCCUGAAUGGAUUGGGAAGACCGUUACGACGGUCGAGUGGUGAAGGAAAGUGCCAAGAAAAGCUAGGGUUGUGAUGAACAUAUAGUACCCGUACCCGAAACCGACACAGGUAGGGAGGUUGAGAAUACCAAGGGGCGCGAGAUAACUCUCUCUAAGGAACUCGGCAAAAUGGCCCCGUAACUUAGGAAGAAGGGGUGCCAGCCGAAAGGCUGGUCGCAGUGAAGAGAUCCAGGCGACUGUUUACCAAAAACACAGGUCUCCGCUAACUCGAAAGAGGACGUAUGGGGGCUGACGCCUGCCCAGUGCCGGAAGGUUAAGGAAGUUGGUCAGUGGAAACAUAAAGCUGACGACCGAAGCCCCGGUGAACGGCGGCCGUAACUAUAACGGUCCUAAGGUAGCGAAAUUCCUUGUCGGGUAAGUUCCGACCCGCACGAAAGGCGUAACGAUCUGGAUGGUGUCUCAGAGAGAGACUCG